AAAACUGAGACAGUAACAUCAAGUAAAGCAUAAAACAGCGAAGGAAAAAAAGAAAAAUCAAGACAAAGAAUCAAGAAAUAACGCGAUAAUAUAUCGCAGACUCCAGACUACUUGGAUGUGGAUUGCUACGUUUGACCAGCUGUUUCAGACAGUAUCAGAAGUUUUCAAUGAGAAAUUUGACGGGUUUUAUGAUCGAGGUUUCAUGAAGUUCCAACAGGCGUCGGCGCUAUACGAGACCUUCAAGAUGGUGUAUUCCAAGCAGAGUUUCUUUUGAUGGGAAACCAGAGAAUUGCAGAUAUUCAUAUGUGCUUGCAGAAUGUCUACAGAGACCUGACAGUGAACAAACGCAUGGUGAGUCGUUGGGCGAGACGUCUGUCAUCACUGCAACAAGGUCUCUGAUGCCCCGGCCCGCUGCACGCAGCCGUGACUCCUGCAAUACUGGAACGUGGGGACACUCUCAUUCGAGGUGAUUGGCGGAUCACAGACAGUCAGACACCUCGCUGCUCAACUGAACGUCUCUGUAGGUACUGACACACUCGUCCACCAAUUAGUGUUCUUAUAGGUGUGUUCCCACUGGGUUCCUCGCUGCCUGACAGAAGACCAUAAAGAGCGACGAAGAAUCAUCUGUGCGCAAAUGCUUGCACGCUACAAGGGUAACCGUGAGAAUUUUUUUAGAACGUCUUCACAGUUAAUGAAACAUCGAUACAUCACUUAGAACCGGAAACAAAACGGCAACCCAUAGAGUAGAGCCACACCACGUUUCCUCAGUCAAAAUCAGCACUCUCUGUCGGUAAAGUUAUGGCUGCCAUCGUCUGGGACUAUGAAGGGGACAUUCUACUUGAUGUCUUCCCUCGUGGUGGAACGAUCAGCUUUAAAUUGUGGUCUGCUAGCCUCAGGAAGUUGAAGAAACGGCUUCUGCGUGUUCGUCGACAGAAGACUGCCAAAGAAAUUCUUUUCCGUUGCAACGCCAACCCUCAAAAGGCAAGGCCUCCCAAGAGGAGCUGGACUGUUCUUCCUCAUCGACCCUACAUCCCAGAUCUCGCACCUUCCGACAUCCAUACGUUUGACCCAAUGAAGAAUGCACUCCGCAGAAAGCAGUAUGUGGAUGACGGGGACGUUAUUGGUGCAGCAAGACGUUGGCUCCAGUGUGGAGUGGUACAAGGCGGGCGUACAGGAGUUCCGAGUCAGGCGGCAUAAGGCCGUCGCACUGAAGGGAGAUAUGCUUAAAAAUAGGGUUUUGGAGCCA
Molecule: long non-coding RNA, 1246 nt
Organism: Schistocerca gregaria
Lineage: Eukaryota; Metazoa; Arthropoda; Insecta; Orthoptera; Acrididae
Exons: 3
Source: RefSeq, a predicted model, not a curated record